GAUGAAGAACGUAGCGAAAUGCGAUAAGUAAUGUGAAUUGCAGAAUUCAGUGAAUCAUCGAAUCUUUGAACGCAUCUUGCGCUCCUUGGUAUUCUGAGGAGCAUGCCUGUUUGAGUGUCAUUAAAUUCUCAACUACACUGACUUUGAAUUGGUGUGGCUUGGAUUUGGGGGGAAAAUUGUUGUGGGCUUUUUGUAUAGUCUGCUCCCCUGAAAUUGAUUAGCGGUACCUUUGUGGAACUGUCUACAGGUGUGAUAAUUAUCUACAUCUUAGACAUCUGCUGGAAUGCUGAUUUCUAAACCUUACUUGUAUUGACAAUCUUGACCUCAAAUCAGGUAGGACUACCCGCUGAACUUAAGCAUAUCAAUAAGCGGAGGA
RNAcentral lists this unclassified non-coding RNA (376 nucleotides) under soil metagenome. RNAcentral's name for it is "partial contains 5.8S ribosomal RNA, internal transcribed spacer 2, and large subunit ribosomal RNA". The stretch from base 1 to 120 matches the Rfam family "5.8S ribosomal RNA", at positions 35 to 154 of the family's 154-position model. The record is from RNAcentral.